This 34-nucleotide ribosomal RNA is filed under the name Fusarium solani. Its description in RNAcentral is "partial 28S large subunit ribosomal RNA". Lineage: Eukaryota; Fungi; Ascomycota; Sordariomycetes; Hypocreales; Nectriaceae. The record is from RNAcentral.
GUUGACCUCGAAUCAGGUAGGAAUACCCGCUGAA